GAUGAACGCUAGCGGCAGGCCUAAUACAUGCAAGUCGGACGGGAUUCAGGAGCUUGCUUCUGAUGAGAGUGGCGCACGGGUGCGUAACACGUAUGUAACCUACCUUUAUCAGGGGGAUAGCCUCUCGAAAGAGAGAUUAAGCCCGCAUAAAAUCACAGCACAGCAUUGUGUAAUGAUCAAAUAUUUAUAGGAUAAAGAUGGGCAUGCGGAACAUUAGCUAGAUGGCGGGGUAACGGCCCACCAUGGCGACGAUGUUUAGGGGAUCUGAGAGGAUGGCCCCCCACACUGGUACUGAGACACGGACCAGACUCCUACGGGAGGCAGCAGUAAGGAAUAUUGGUCAAUGGGCGGAAGCCUGAACCAGCCAUGCCGCGUGCAGGAAGACGGCCCUACGGGUUGUAAACUGCUUUUAUACGGGAAUAAACCCAGAUACGUGUAUCUGGCUGAAUGUACUGUAAGAAUAAGGAUCGGCUAACUCCGUGC
This 483-nucleotide ribosomal RNA is filed under the name uncultured bacterium. Its description in RNAcentral is "partial 16S ribosomal RNA". It matches the Rfam family "Bacterial small subunit ribosomal RNA", at positions 28 to 508 of the family's 1533-position model. The record is from RNAcentral.